RNAcentral lists this transfer RNA (97 nucleotides) under Candidatus Fermentibacter danicus. RNAcentral's name for it is "tRNA-Sec". It matches the Rfam family "Selenocysteine transfer RNA". RNAcentral also lists the same sequence under 2 other names. Lineage: Bacteria; Pseudomonadati; Candidatus Fermentibacterota; Candidatus Fermentibacteria; Candidatus Fermentibacterales; Candidatus Fermentibacteraceae. The record is from RNAcentral.
GGGAGCGGAAGGGGGCUGGUGUCCCUCCCGGACUUCAAAUCCGGCGCCGGGUGCUCAAACCAUCCUGGGUGGGUUCGAUUCCCACACGUUCCCGCCA